UGCCAGCAGCCGCGGUAACACGGGGGGCGCAAGCGUUAUUCGGAAUCAUUGGGCGUAAAGUGUGCGUAGGCGGCUUAAUAAGUUGGUUGUGAAAGCCCAGGGCUCAACCCUGGAAUUGCAGUCAAAACUGUUAGGCUAGAGUAAGGCGGGGGACAGUGGAAUUCCUAGUGUAGGGGUGAAAUCCGUAGAUAUUAGGAGGAACAUCAGUGGCGAAGGCGGUCUUCUAGUUUAUUCCUGACGCUGAGGCGCGAAAGCAAGGGGAGCAAACAGGAUUAGAUA
This 279-nucleotide ribosomal RNA is filed under the name uncultured bacterium. RNAcentral describes it as "partial 16S ribosomal RNA". It matches the Rfam family "Bacterial small subunit ribosomal RNA", at positions 506 to 784 of the family's 1533-position model. The record is from RNAcentral.